Molecule: non-coding RNA, 107 nt
Organism: Apodospora peruviana
Lineage: Eukaryota; Fungi; Ascomycota; Sordariomycetes; Sordariales; Lasiosphaeriaceae
Source: the annotation of a GenBank genome assembly
GGUUGUGUAGUGUAGUGGUUAUCACUCCAGAUUUUGAGUCUUUUCGACCUAGUCGAGAACAAAGUAAAGCACUUCUGGUAACCCCGGUUCGAACCCGGGCACGACCU